GGGGAAUUAGCUCAGCUGGUAGAGCGCGUCCAUGGCAUGGAUGAGGUCAGCGGUUCGAGCCCGCUAUUCUCCA
RNAcentral lists this transfer RNA (73 nucleotides) under Gammaproteobacteria bacterium. RNAcentral's name for it is "tRNA-Ala". It matches the Rfam family "tRNA". Rfam says of the family: Transfer RNA (tRNA) molecules are approximately 80 nucleotides in length. Their secondary structure includes four short double-helical elements and three loops (D, anti-codon, and T loops). Further hydrogen bonds mediate the characteristic L-shaped molecular structure. tRNAs have two regions of fundamental functional importance: the anti-codon, which is responsible for specific mRNA codon recognition, and the 3' end, to which the tRNAs corresponding amino acid is attached (by aminoacyl-tRNA synthetases). tRNAs cope with the degeneracy of the genetic code in two manners: having more than one tRNA (with a specific anti-codon) for a particular amino acid; and 'wobble' base-pairing, i.e. permitting non-standard base-pairing at the 3rd anti-codon position. The record is from RNAcentral. RNAcentral also lists the same sequence under 1 other name. Lineage: Bacteria; Pseudomonadati; Pseudomonadota; Gammaproteobacteria.